RNAcentral lists this ribosomal RNA (2886 nucleotides) under Vibrio cholerae. RNAcentral's name for it is "Large Subunit Ribosomal RNA". It matches the Rfam family "Bacterial large subunit ribosomal RNA". Lineage: Bacteria; Pseudomonadati; Pseudomonadota; Gammaproteobacteria; Vibrionales; Vibrionaceae. The record is from RNAcentral.
GGUUAAGUGACUAAGCGUACACGGUGGAUGCCUAGGCAGUCAGAGGCGAUGAAGGACGUACUAACUUGCGAUAAGCGCAGAUAAGGCAGUAAGAGCCGUUUGAGUCUGCGAUUUCCGAAUGGGGAAACCCAACUGCAUAAGCAGUUACUGUUAACUGAAUACAUAGGUUAACAGAGCAAACCGGGGGAACUGAAACAUCUAAGUACCCCGAGGAGAAGAAAUCAACCGAGAUUCCGGUAGUAGCGGCGAGCGAACCUGGAUUAGCCCUUAAGCACUCGUUGAAGUAGGUGAACAAGCUGGAAAGCUUGGCGAUACAGGGUGAUAGCCCCGUAACCGACGCUUCAUCGAGCGUGAAAUCGAGUAGGGCGGGACACGUGAUAUCCUGUCUGAAUAUGGGGGGACCAUCCUCCAAGGCUAAAUACUCCUGACUGACCGAUAGUGAACCAGUACCGUGAGGGAAAGGCGAAAAGAACCCCUGUGAGGGGAGUGAAAUAGAACCUGAAACCGUGUACGUACAAGCAGUAGGAGCACCUUCGUGGUGUGACUGCGUACCUUUUGUAUAAUGGGUCAGCGACUUAUAUUCAGUGGCAAGGUUAACCGUAUAGGGGAGCCGUAGCGAAAGCGAGUCUUAACUGGGCGCUCAGUCUCUGGAUAUAGACCCGAAACCGGGUGAUCUAGCCAUGGGCAGGUUGAAGGUUGAGUAACAUCAACUGGAGGACCGAACCGACUAAUGUUGAAAAAUUAGCGGAUGACUUGUGGCUAGGGGUGAAAGGCCAAUCAAACUCGGAGAUAGCUGGUUCUCCCCGAAAGCUAUUUAGGUAGCGCCUCGGACGAAUACUACUGGGGGUAGAGCACUGUUAAGGCUAGGGGGUCAUCCCGACUUACCAACCCUUUGCAAACUCCGAAUACCAGUAAGUACUAUCCGGGAGACACACGGCGGGUGCUAACGUCCGUCGUGGAGAGGGAAACAACCCAGACCGCCAGCUAAGGUCCCAAAGUAUUGCUAAGUGGGAAACGAUGUGGGAAGGCUCAGACAGCUAGGAUGUUGGCUUAGAAGCAGCCAUCAUUUAAAGAAAGCGUAAUAGCUCACUAGUCGAGUCGGCCUGCGCGGAAGAUGUAACGGGGCUAAGCAAUACACCGAAGCUGCGGCAAUAUCUUUUAGAUAUUGGGUAGGGGAGCGUUCUGUAAGCCGUUGAAGGUGAAUCGUAAGGUUUGCUGGAGGUAUCAGAAGUGCGAAUGCUGACAUGAGUAACGACAAAGGGGGUGAAAAACCUCCUCGCCGGAAGACCAAGGGUUCCUGUCCAACGUUAAUCGGGGCAGGGUGAGUCGACCCCUAAGGUGAGGCCGAAAGGCGUAAUCGAUGGGAAACGGGUUAAUAUUCCCGUACUUCUGACUAUUGCGAUGGGGGACGGAGAAGGCUAGGUGGGCCAGGCGACGGUUGUCCUGGUUCAAGUGCGUAGGCUUGAGAGUUAGGUAAAUCCGGCUCUCUCUAAGGCUGAGACACGACGUCGAGCUGCUACGGCAGUGAAGUCAUUGAUGCCAUGCUUCCAGGAAAAGCCUCUAAGCUUCAGAUAGUCAGGAAUCGUACCCCAAACCGACACAGGUGGUCGGGUAGAGAAUACCAAGGCGCUUGAGAGAACUCGGGUGAAGGAACUAGGCAAAAUGGUACCGUAACUUCGGGAGAAGGUACGCUCUUGAUGGUGAAGUCCCUCGCGGAUGGAGCUGACGAGAGUCGCAGAUACCAGGUGGCUGCAACUGUUUAUUAAAAACACAGCACUGUGCAAAAUCGCAAGAUGACGUAUACGGUGUGACGCCUGCCCGGUGCCGGAAGGUUAAUUGAUGGGGUUAGCGCAAGCGAAGCUCUUGAUCGAAGCCCCGGUAAACGGCGGCCGUAACUAUAACGGUCCUAAGGUAGCGAAAUUCCUUGUCGGGUAAGUUCCGACCUGCACGAAUGGCGUAAUGAUGGCCACGCUGUCUCCACCCGAGACUCAGUGAAAUUGAAAUCGCUGUGAAGAUGCAGUGUACCCGCGGCUAGACGGAAAGACCCCGUGAACCUUUACUACAGCUUGGCACUGAACAUUGAACCUACAUGUGUAGGAUAGGUGGGAGGCUAUGAAGACGUGACGCCAGUUGCGUUGGAGCCGUCCUUGAAAUACCACCCUUGUAUGUUUGAUGUUCUAACUUAGACCCAUUAUCUGGGUUGAGGACAGUGCCUGGUGGGUAGUUUGACUGGGGCGGUCUCCUCCCAAAGAGUAACGGAGGAGCACGAAGGUGGGCUAAUCACGGUUGGACAUCGUGAGGUUAGUGCAAUGGCAUAAGCCCGCUUAACUGCGAGAAUGACGGUUCGAGCAGGUGCGAAAGCAGGUCAUAGUGAUCCGGUGGUUCUGUAUGGAAGGGCCAUCGCUCAACGGAUAAAAGGUACUCCGGGGAUAACAGGCUGAUACCGCCCAAGAGUUCAUAUCGACGGCGGUGUUUGGCACCUCGAUGUCGGCUCAUCACAUCCUGGGGCUGAAGUCGGUCCCAAGGGUAUGGCUGUUCGCCAUUUAAAGUGGUACGCGAGCUGGGUUUAGAACGUCGUGAGACAGUUCGGUCCCUAUCUGCCGUGGGCGUUGGAAGAUUGAAGGGGGCUGCUCCUAGUACGAGAGGACCGGAGUGGACGAACCUCUGGUGUUCGGGUUGUGUCGCCAGACGCAUUGCCCGGUAGCUAAGUUCGGAAUUGAUAAGCGCUGAAAGCAUCUAAGCGCGAAGCGAGCCCUGAGAUGAGUCUUCCCUGAUACUUUAAGUAUCCUAAAGGGUUGUUCGAGACUAGAACGUUGAUAGGCAGGGUGUGUAAGCGUUGUGAGGCGUUGAGCUAACCUGUACUAAUUGCCCGUGAGGCUUAACCAU